UUAAAAAUAGUUUAUUUAAAAUGUUAAUUUUGGAGAUUAAUGAUAUUGUUUAAGAUUUUUUAAA
Molecule: transfer RNA, 64 nt
Filed under: Diaphorencyrtus aligarhensis
Lineage: Eukaryota; Metazoa; Arthropoda; Insecta; Hymenoptera; Encyrtidae
Description: tRNA-Pro
Source: RNAcentral